RNAcentral lists this transfer RNA (63 nucleotides) under Phascolosoma similis. RNAcentral's name for it is "tRNA-Ile". The record is from RNAcentral. Lineage: Eukaryota; Metazoa; Annelida; Sipuncula; Phascolosomatiformes; Phascolosomatidae.
GAUAUUGCGCCGGACUGAACGGAUAGUUCUGAUGUGACUAAAUAUGGCUUACACCCAAUAUCU